Sorex fumeus (smoky shrew) is the source of this 107-nucleotide small nuclear RNA. NCBI's taxonomy places the organism in Eukaryota, Metazoa, Chordata, Mammalia, Eulipotyphla, Soricidae. The record is from RefSeq and is a predicted model, not a curated record.
GCUCUCGCUUCGGCAGCACAUAUACUAAAAUUGGAACAAUACAGAGAAGAUUAACAUGGCCCCUGCACAAGGAUGACACGCAAAUUCGUGAAAGGAACUCCAAACAA